CAGGAACCAAGAGCAAAAUCGGACUGCGUCACAGAUGUAACAUGACCAUCGGCAAAACAAGUGCAGAAAGAGAUCAUGGCUGUCUCGUCAGUCAGAGAGCCUUCCUUCGAUAUCAAAGGAGAAUAAGAUGGGACCACCGUUGUUGCUGCUAUUCCUGUUGUUCCCCUGCUCUGCGGAACUGGCGCUGCAGGAGGCAAGGAUGCUCCAAGGGAGCCAGCUACAGCCAGCGAAGGCUCAACUGCCGUUCAGAGGACAGGCUGCUGCUGAAGUAAUGGAGACGGCGGACGCAGUAUGUUUGAGGCGGUUCUGAACCCAGCGGUUGUUGCUAAACAACCGGACCUGACGCUUGAGAUGUCAGCGAGUGAGUAAUAUAGAUUAAAUGCUUAUGCUACCGUAUCCUUAAACUUGUUUAAGCCUCGAUAUGAUGAAAAGCUAUGGAAUAAUGUUCCCUGCCAUAUGAGAAAGCAAAGUUACCACUCCACUGCAUAAUCAGGAGACUUCCUCGGCCAGAAGGACCAAGCCCAAAGCCGGUUGUGUCCUCAGCACUUCCAGGCAGAGUUGCCAUCUUCUUUGCUGGUUGCUUUAAGAAGAGAGGUGAAAAAAUAGUAUAGUAAAUGGUUAAGAGAGAAAAAUGCUCUCCCCUUCAUUUCCUCAUCCUCUCUCUGGAGCUGCUUUCUGCCCUCAGUCUCCCAUUCAUCCUUACCCAGCCCUUCCCAAUCCUCCUGCAAUCCCUGCUUUCUAACGCUGCUAUUUCCUUUGCAAACCUUUACAGUGCCGUCACUUAGGGCUGCCUUCAGCUCUCUCUGGUGUUGCCGAGCCUGUGGCAAACUCACACUUAUGCAAAUGAAAGCUGAGUUUGGGCAAGAGUCUUUUUCACUUCUUUAAUUAUUCCCACAACAUAAUUUCCAGGUCCAAUCCCUGCCCCGAGCAGUUUACAGUCCUGCUAACACUUAAUCACCUUAUAAGGGAGAAGGAGGACAGCAAGCGAGCGAGGAGAAAAGCCCCAAACCCCAUUACUUUCCCCUUCCCCGCGGUUUGCAGCUCUGACACGUCAUCGUCGCAACUGCACGGCGAAACGAAACCUCCCCGGCCCCCGCGCGGGGGGCACCCACGGGUGCGGGGAUCAGGCUCCCGCUGCAGCGAGGAGUUAACUGCUGCCUUCCCGCCCGCCGCCCCUGCCCGGGGGGCGCCCAGCAGCCCCGGGAGCCGCGGCGGGCAGGGAGCGGGCAGGGAGCGGGCAGGGAGCUGCCGGCACUUUGAAGCAAGUGAAAUCAACGUUGAGAUUUGACACCCAGUCCUCGACCAAUCCGGGAGGGCUUUUCACCUGCCAUCACCUCCUCCGCCAAUCGGACGGCGCCUUUGGGCUGAGAGCCCUCCCCGGCCAAUGGGGAGCCAGCUCUGCCACUUAGUUAAUGAUGCAGCAGUACAGGGAAGACUAUCACAUGUGAGCUGGAAGGCUGCCAACAUGGAGACACGGAGAGAGCAAGCUGGUGUGGAAGCGUCUGGAAGGCACCGUCUACCUGUCCCCAGUGCUUUUAAAAACUGGACGACAUGCCCUGCAAUGAUCACUGCGUCACCGUUUACCACUUUCCGAACUACGCAGUGACAAACCUCCAAGCACUGAAACGCAGAGCGCCUGUUAACCCCUCCACCGAACCCUCGCCAACAUGCCAGCCUUUAGAGAGACCGGGGGGGGAUAAAAAGCCCAAACAAAACAUGAAAACAGCAGUCUUUGCAAAGUUGUCAUCUCUCCCCCACGACUACUACCCUCCUCUGCAGUACAGCAAUGCCGGCAAGAGUGACAUUAGUACAACCUGUGCCGUCGUUCCAUUGAGAAAACAGCUCUGACGCAGAACAGAGCAAUCAUACCCAGCCAAAAUAAUAAUAAAGGCACUCUGGGAUCCGAACUUAGGGACGCCGGGGGAAAGGGAUGCCCUGCAAAUAAUUAAAAUACGUAGAUGCAGCUCAAGCCCCAUCCUGAUCAAAGGGUACGUACGUGGGAAAGACGAACUGGACCGAAGAGCUCUGCCCGUGCACCAUCUGCGCAGUCCUCAGCCCUCCGCUCGCUGUGUAGCGCCGCAGAAUAGAAGGUUCCAGAAAUUUCCUUUCCGUUAACCCUUUCGGUGUCUGCCCACUCUCCCUCCCCGCGGGAUUAAGCGCGCCAGGUCUCCAGCAUCGUCAAUGGGCGAAGCCUCCUACGCCAACCGAGCCCAAAUCCGAUCUUUAAAUGACACUGGGUGGUGGCAGGAGCCCAGUCCCUGGUGUUGGUGUUACUUCUCUUUCUGGAGCCCUCUCUGCCUCUCUUGCUGCCUCUCUCCCCUCUUGCUGCAGCAGGGCUGUUGCUGGUAGACCUAUCGACGGAGCUUGCUCUCUCACUCUCUCGCUGAGCUCUGUGACGCAGCUCUAAAUUCUCCAGCCUGCUCCCUGUGUUAUAAGAGCGGAACUGCAGCUUUCCAGGGAGCCCGUGCCAGCGGUGCCAGGGCCAGGCAAACCGAGGGGAACGUCGCUCCUGGACUCUGCACCUUUUUUUGCGUCUGAAGAGCCUGAGCUAUUUUGGGAUUUGUCUGUACUACACUGAAAAUGACACCUGUUACGCACAGGCACAAAUGAGAAGAAUUGCAAGCUCCCGGUUUCUCAGAUAUGAUUCUACAAAAAAAGGAAAAGGAUCCUGUCAGCUAGGGACCUGGGAGAGCAGGGCAGGCUCUCGGCAGGGGGAUGAAGGGGAUGACCCUCGCGAUUUGAACAGUCAGGCACCAGGACAGAAAAUGUAAAAGGUCUGUUGUAGCUGAUGCAAGCGGAAAUCAAACCUCCGUGUGACCAAAAGAAGUAGUGCUUGAUCAACUAAAUGCCACAAGACAUGGUUUCUUAUGCAAUCAAACCCCUGGGACUUCAAGCCUUACAUAUACGCCUUGUGGCCAAAGCUGCAAGCAUUAACUGCUUCAGUUAAUGAAGGUAAAAUUGUAAGAGCGCUGCGGCUACUUAAAUGAGUCACCCAGCAGUGAUACUCGCUAAAGUAGGCCAGUGUUGUAUGCGAUGUUCAGCUGUCUGUGCUGGUUUCAGUUACCCCUGAGUUAUCUCAGCAGCUCCACCAACACGCAGGGUCAGAGCGGAUUUUCCGCAUUCCCCGUUUUCCCCGUCAGCGUGCGGCUGAUUUACAACGCACCGCUUCUGUGCAGACGAGACAGAGGCCAUCUCGCUGGACCUGCGAGACCCAGCGAAGCUCUGAACGUGAUUGCGUACGGCACUGGAGCAAGAUAAAAGACUCGGAGGCUCAGAAAUGGAACAGUUGACUAGUGCUUUUAGCUCACAGCGAUUUUGUCAGUCUCGUGGUACAUUAAGAAAGUAAAAUGCAGCUUUGAUUUAUUUCAAAUUAUAUCUUUUUGGCUGCUUUUAGGGGAAAGGCAGCAUUUAUUUUAUGGUUUACUUUCAUUUGAAAAUGACCAGCCAUGGAACGUUUCUACCUUUACUGGACUGUAAGUAUUUACUUUACGGUGGUACUGACUCCCAAGAAGACUCAAAGCCACGCUGCACUGCGAAACGCUCAAGUGCGCAACUAAUAAAACAUGGCACGAUGGAAAGUUUCAGCACUUGGAACUGAAUAAUGAGGCCCAAAAAACCAGUGUCUUCUCGCACAGUUGAGUCAGUUAAAUGUUGGACAGGCUUUGGCAUUUUCUGUGAGCUGAAGCAAGGAAAUAGAGGCCGUGAUUCCAUGGUAGAAAUCUGUGCUGCUUUUCUGGUUUAAGUGGAGCCCACGAACAUGUUUUGUUACUACUUUCCCCCCCCCCCCCCCUCCAAACUUUUGUCUAAAAGCAGGAAGCAGAACCUUGGUUUUGUAAAAACUGACUAUGAGGAAGCAAAGUCCCAGCCUAGAAAGCAAGCUUGGUAAAUGGAACUAAUCCACAGCCGCGGUGGGAGGCAGGGGAGAUCAGUCUCACCGAGCAAACGUAGUGUAAGUAUCCGUCCCGAAGCGAGGGGUGACCUAAUGGCUGACUGCAGCUGUGCCUUGGGUGCUUGCAAUGCUGAUUAAAACCCCCAAAAGUUUCGAUAGUGCUAGACGAUGUAAUAAGGUGUCAGGACUUACAGCUUGACCGGUUCAGGCUGGGUGUUAGGGGAAAAAUAAAUCUCUUCAGGAGGGUGGGAGGGACUGAACCCCCAAGACUACUGUCAAUUGACAGUUUCCCUCGGCAUCACGAAAGGAUCAGGGAGCAGAGGAAGCGUGGCCUUGCUACAGCUUGUGUUCCAAAGUGUAUGUAAAGGUGCAUCCUCGGUUCUCUGGCAUCUCCCACGCGAUUUUCUGCUGUCAUGCUACAAUGACCUUAAUAGCAAUACCAUAUGGAGGCUGACGUUACAAAACUCUAACCCUCAUGCACGUCAUCUAAUACCUUAUCGGUGCUGUGGGUGAUAAAAUAACCUCGGCCAUCCACGGAGGAAGGUCCUCGGUCUUUUUAAUGAGGAAUGAAACCCUCGUGGUACCACCCGCACUUUCAGCUUCCUGGUGGUGAAGCCUUGGCUCAGGUUUCAGUUUAAAUGCCAUCGGCCACACCUUCCUCCGACUACAGGAAACUGUGAUUGUUAAAAUCAGGGCAUGUUCCUAUUUAACUAAAAGGCUGAGCUCAGAUAAUCCAAAGGCCUCGAAUAUGCCAAACAAAUUCCUGCCCAAGACACAGCAAGUCUGUGCAGCUGUAAAUUUAUAACCCCUCGACCUCAAUAUCCAUGUAAAUGACAUCUCGGCACAUCACCUCGGGGAGCGGUUGGUAAUAAAGAGAAGGAGCAAAGAAUCAGGCAAGGGCCACAGGGGAAGGUAGAAGUUAACAGUAAUAAUGCUUAGCAGCGUGUUCUUCAGUUUACCACCCAAAAGUCCUGAAAGUUCCUUUAAAAUGCAAAAUAGUACAUUUUUCAAAUGAUGACGUGGGAUAGCUCUUUUGCAGAAGGUGGGAUUUGUCAGCGCUACCUCUUCCUCUCGGAACACUCACAACCCCAGCGAAACAGUGUUUUCCAACAAAAAUCUGUCCCAGCCAGCUCCGUUCAAGGAGUAUCAGCAGAAACAGUAAGAUGAUGGCCCAUCUGUCAGGACUGUUUCCCCUAACCCUGACCAGGCAGAGGGUGAUUAAUUUUUAAAAUUGUCUUUUAAUCUGAAUUUUGUACUAGUAAAUGGUCCUUAAAAAAGAAUCCUUACUUAAUUCUUUGCUAAAGUAAAACAAUUGUCUACAUUGACUGCAAAUAAAGAUGUAGUGUUAGUUGUAACCUUCGGGAACUGGUAAGUUUUUAAUGUUUGCUUAUUUAAAAUUAAUACAAUUUUGCACAGAGGAAGACUGAAUUAAAAAAGGGUUAAAUAAUUUGACCCACAUUGUAUGUGGAAUCAGCAUCAGUGCUGCUAUGGAAGUUCGGGAGUUCCUUGCUCCCAGAUUUUACUUAGGUUGGGCCUCUUGCUUAAUUAUAGACCUUAUUGCCCAGACGGCCCCCAGUCAUUAGUGAGCCGUAACCGACAUCUCGAACAGAAGCUGCCGAAACAGUGUGGCUUUUAGAGGAAAUUGAUAGGAAAUUAUUUCGAGGAGGUACUUUCAUUUUUCAGAGAAAAGCAGAAAUAAGACUUCAAAGCCUUCCAUCUGUUUUCACAUGUGCAGGGACAAUCCGUGGUUUUACAGGGCCAUCCUAACAGUCGCCAGGACGUGCAGGUUUCCAGGAAACUGGAGACUGGCAACUCCAGAAUAGGAGUAUUUGCUAACACGGCUCCCAAAGUCCAUGACGGUGUGCCACGCAUCAGGCUUUGUUCCACUGUGACAAUAGAAAAGUUACAGAUUCACAACAAACAUUUAAGUUUAAGGGUUUUUUUUUUCCCGAAAGGUUUAUUGUUUUCCAGCCGAGUUUCAUUAGUGAAUGCCAGAGAAAUGGCUUUGCAAUAUUUUCAGCACUGCCUGUUCAUUGCUAGCCCAGUGCAUAUGCAUGCUAUUAAACUCACUGGGGUCCCAACCAACAGGAGGAAGAGCAGGCAGGUGUAUAGCAAGAAAAAAACCCUUCUGAAACAGUUUUAAAGUUGAUUCUGUGCACCUGCUUGGGCGUGCACAGCUGACUGCGCAAAGGUCGGGCUGGGGAUUUUCAUAGUGCUCUUUGGGGGGUGGUUCAAGGGAAUUAGAUGGAAUAGCUGGUGCUGAGAUCAAAAGGCUGCAAAGCCAGAGGUGUGGGUUCGUUCCCAAGAGCUGCCGGGGUUGUGUUGGUAUUGGGUACUGGCAUUUGCAUAAAGCACUUGCAUUCUUUGUGCAAGCCUAGCCCACGCAAUACAGCAAGCACUGAAAUGGAAACCUGCAGGUGAAAACCUGGCCCUCCCUUUGAAAAGCUGGAGUCCUGGAAUUUACCCUGUGAAGCCUAAGAAAAUCCCAGCUGGAAUUGCUGAGCUCCUUCCCAAAGGGGUGGCACCGCAUCAACAUACGAGCUGCUUCAAAGCAGAGCUUACGCCCUGGGUUGAAGCUGGGUUCGAGGUAUUUAGCACCCUCGACCGACAGCUCUGCUCGCUCUGCCCGCUGGCUCGCAGCGUUCCUGGUCAGCACGGUGACAGAAGCGCUGCCCGGAGGUCGGCGUGGCGGCUCCGCAGACCCCGGCCGCUCUGCCCGCCGUGGGAGAGGGAGCGGGGGCAGCCAGGCUCCCCGAGCUGCAGGUUUUGCUCGGUUCCAAAUCUAAGGAGCCAGCAGCGCUGAGACAAAAGAGAGCAUCUUCCCAGUCACGAGGCAGUGGACCACCCUCACGCUUCCCACCCGUCGGAGAGCACGGCUGUCGCAAGGAAAACUUCAGCUAGACCCGGUGCCCCUGCGCUGCUCAAAGGUACUGUUCCCCUGCCCGGGAAGGGACGCGGCCCUCGGGGAGGCACCGAGCCCGCCUCCCAGCGCCCUGCUUGCCGGCCCUCCGGCCGGGCUCACGCGGGGCACGAGUAUUUGCAAAAGCCAAACAUUACCGGGGGUGGGGGGGGGAGCAGGGCGGAGGAAUCGAUUGAUCUCCAGCCAACUGUGUGUCGUGGCGUUUUCCUAACUGCUAAUCUUACUUGAAGUUCCCUUUACAAAUACAUUAUAAGGUUACGCAUGAACAGCGGGUAUUUAAAUAUGGGAUCGGUAAAUGACCAGGUGCUCAGCUGGCCGUUCAUCGACAUCUUUAACAUCUUCCUCUGAUGCUAUUUAGCAAAAAUCAUACUGGUAUCCCUGCGUGUUUUCACUCCCUGUAGCUUGGAAGAGGCAAUUUUCUUUCCGUGCUGUUUGUGCAGCCCAGGGUACAACACAUUCCUGAUCUAUGACUAGGUUUCCAAACUACAUAGUAAAAUGAAUAAUAAUGAUAGUAAAAGUUGUACAACUUCUUUUAUACGGCAACCUUUCUGUUACUUUAGUAAUGGAAAUUCCAGCUGUUGUUCAUGGAGGAAAAAAAGGUUUGUUUUUUGUGAAAACCACCUACACCCAACUGAAACAAAACCAAAAAACCAACAGAUUGAAGGUGUAAAAGAAAAAUUUUGUAUCAAUCCUGGGUGCAACUGCAUUAAGAGUUGAGCUAGAUAGAAUUAAACAUCUCAGCUGGAGCACGGACAGGGCACCAGACAGCUUGCUAAAAAUAGAUUAAUCCUAAUUACAGCCACACUUCUGCUUUUUCAAGGCUUCCCGUUUCACGUGGGGACGCAGAGGCUGUGAACAGAGAGGGGGAUCGGUGCCCGGCGCGGCAGCAGAGGGGACGGGGGGCACAUGCCGCCGGUAUUGCAUAACCGCGGGAACACGCCGUCCUCCGGCGGGAGCGACGGCAGCGUCCAGCCUUCGGCUGCAGGCUUAGCCCAGCGCCCGGCCCUGCGAAUCCCCUCUCCCCGGUUAGCAAAACCAGACUAAACCCCUGGAAAACAGGGUUUCAGGUAACGUGUGCUUUGGUGGUUGAAGAUUUAAACAUCUCCACCUUCUGUGAGCUCCCCGAACCACCGGCAGCCCCGGGGGAGCUCGGUCCUGUGCCCGAGCUGCCGGUGCAGGUAAAACCCCCCCGGAGCGGUCCCGUGCGCUGGUAUGUCCCGUAGGAGCUGCCAUAAAUCCCUCUUGGAUUUAUUUCCUCCUGGACAACACUGACACAGAGGGCUGACUUAGUAUCUCGUAAGCAGAAUUACAAAACGUUUAGUAUGAAAAAAAUGUAUAUAAGCCUCUGCUUUCCAAAUUAUGGUAGCUUAUUUCUCCCGUAAAGCCUAUGAAACUAUGGAAAACAACUAUUUUCCCGCCUUAAAGAAUGUGUAUUAAUCGCCGACUUAAAUAUUUAACCAGCAAAAUAUACUGCUUCAGCUAGAAUAACUUAGCUUUGUUUUAUCAGAAAUAGGAGUUUCUGAUGUCAGAAGCAGGAGUCACUGCUAUGGUUUUCUCGUUUCUGUACCAGUAAUCGCCAGGUAAGCACGAGGGCCCCUCUGCUUGAGGGGGGUCUCGCCCUGCACACAUCGCUGCUGCUGCGAACAACAGCCAGCGACUGAAAGACCUUCUAGCCGGUAAAACAAAGGAAAAGUUCAUCAACCGCUCCUUCAGUAUCUUGGAUUCAAGUAACUGAGGAACAACUCUCCCACAAAAACAAGGGCAAUAGCGUUGAGUUUCAUUUAAAGUGUCCAACUGAGCCUGUUUGGAUGUUUUGGAAAAAAAUAACAAGUCCUGCCACCUCUAGGACCAUCGCAGCCAUCACCAAGGGCAGGAUCUGAAAUGCCGGCAGCCCUGCGUGCAGGGCUGUCAGCCCUGGACUGGGACUGGGACUGGGACUCGGUGGCACGGUGCUGGUCGGCUGCCUCCCCCGCAGGAACAGCGGCGCUUACGGCCCGGCCGGGCGGCUCUCGGAGAAAAGGAGAGCUACAAAGAGGGUGUCUGGAACAUCCCCUGUCAGUUUUGAGCAGGACUGACACUUCAGGAAAUGGUACUUUUGCUUACAGCUCAUCAGAAAAGAUUUCAUUUUGCACUUUUGAGAUUCACUUGCCCUCUGCACUGAAACGCAGAUCCAGGAUUUGGGGCUUGCUCUUUGUGUUUUUAAUUAAAUAAGAAAGAUGUGCUGCAGAACAGCCGUACCUUUGGGCUGAUGGGUGCUCACCUGGGCUGGGAGAAAUCCGCCUGCACAUCCCUGCUUUGAUCUCCACGGAAGUUGGUCUUGCAGCUCCAGUCUCUGGUAUCCCAGCUGAGUUUGUAGCAGGGUUCUUGGCUGUCCCGCAGUCCGGGAUGUCAGUCCUGCCGUCACCUCCCAGCUCCCUGGAGUUACACCCUGGGGACAAGAAAAAUCUCCCAUUAAAAAGUUUUGCCAACCUUAAUAUGACAAAGCAAUAUUUUCCAAUCGGGAAAUGAAUAAACAGGGAAAAAUGUGUUUAGACAUUCCUAAGCAGCUUCCUUAGCGUCACUGUGCCGCCAGCAGACUGUGGCUGCCAGCAGACCUCCUCCUGUCCCCGCUGCUUUACGGGAUGCACCUACCGAAGGGCGGUGGUGCUGCGUGUGUGCAGAGAGGCUUGGCCGUGACUUGGAAGCACCUAUGGGUACGAGGGCACAUCUCGCUGAACGCCUGUGUCUGCCACCCCUGCCUGGAGUGACUGCUUUCAUAAGCAUAGCGAGAGAUUGGGAAAUCUGCUGUGAUUCAUGCGAAUCGCUCCAGUCCCCGCGCCCACCCCCGGCACAGCACCCACGAGCGCCCAGGAGCUGCCAGACGCACGCAGAGCGAGCACCACGCCUGCCUGCAGCUCGUCAGCAACCAUCGGCUGCCAGGACACUCCCAGAGUAUUUAAAACUCGAUGCCACAAAUUAUUUGUCCUUAUCUGAAAAAUUCCUGAAAUGCUUUUUAUUUUUGUUACUGAAAAUUAUCAUAUUCCGAGCUCAGCUGAAUAAACCGACCCUGUCGCCAGCUGCGGGGCUUUGCUGUCCGUGCUGGGUUUGGUGCUGGCAGGUACUGCCUGAAUUUUAUCUCUGUCUCUUGUUUCAGCCUUGAAACUGGGAUUGUAAAUUAUUUUGGCCAAGGAUAAACUGUCUUUGCUUGUACAGCACUGAGCCACACCGGCCUCUGGGUCUCAGCUGAGGCUUCUAGACGGUUCUAAAAAUAAGUAAUUAUGAGGUAUUAUCUUUUAAAAAUACUUGUAAAAAAGAGGGAACAGAAAGAGACUCCUUUCCCAGCUGUUUUCUCCUCAAACUGCCAAGAUUUUUUUUUUUUAAACUGUGUCUUUUUGGUCAGUUCUCUUCUGCAGCCGUUCAUAAAACAAGGGUACACGACAGUUUAAAUGUUAGGACAGGUAUUUUGCACUUGCAUAGCAGUAAUCAUUUGAAAACCACCAGUAAAUUCUAAAAUCCAAGCGAUUAACAAAAUAAAAAUUAAUUAAUCUCAAAAAAUUGUUUUAUGCACAAGUUGAUUACUCUUCCCAGCAAGAAAUUAUUUUGCUAAUAAAUCUCAAUUAGAGGUUGAGGUUUUCCUUUCUUUUUUUUUUUUUUUAAGAAAAAAUAGAUAUUGUCAUUUUUCAAGGUAUUUUGGAUUAUUUUUCUUACGUGGCCAAUUCUGAUUAGUCACAUUAGUUGCACUGCAGAUUUUUUUUUCUCUUUCCAGAAUGGGAGACCUUUGGAGUGAUUCCUUUGUAUAAUUCGUAAGUAGAAAACAAAACAUUAAACAUUACAAAACAAAACAGAUGAAAACACUUUCAGCUUUGCUCAUGUUCCUGCCAACUAUUUUCCUUUUAAAAAAAAAACCCACACAAACCAGCUCUUCUCAGCCCGUACGUGACUGUAUCGGUUUACUCCUUUAAAGGGGAAGGGAGAGCUGAGGAUUAGUGCUCAGUCUGCUGGGAGGGCCAGCGCCUAAGAAAUGGCAAGGACUGGUUUUAAGCCUCCAAGCCAGCUUCUAUUCUCCUAUAUACUAUUUCUCCUCCAGAAAACCAAGGCAAUAAGAAUACAUUGUGAUGAAGGUGCAAACUUAUAAGACUUCUUUAAAUACAUACUUUGAACACCAAAGGUCAGCCGUAUUAUUAAGAGAUUCACAGCGUGAACGCCAUUCAUCUGCCCACCGACACGAGCCUUGCUCUUCCGAUCUGUUCCCACGCAUCGCUUUUCCUUCCUUAGAGCUGGACCAUCAAAACGAGGGGUGCAAUACUUCAAAAGCCAAGAGUGUAUUGUGUUUCCAGUAUUAUGAUGGAAUAUCUAUAUGAAAAUAUAAUAUUUCCAAAUAUUUCCAGCAGGCCCUUUACCUCCUCUUCGUCGAUACCUGCAGUUUCUUUCUUUGGGAGACAGCAACAGCUUGUGCUGGGCAGCGCGCAGAAAUGAGCCUGGCAGAACUGUCCUCCCCAGGCUUCGGUACGGCCGUCCCGUGCUGCAGGUUACUGCGGAAGAGAAAUAGCAGCAUCCCAAAGCGGUUUCGUGGAGCUUCCAAACCCACCUGUGAGUAACGGCUGUGCUCGGGGUAGAAGCUUCUUUUUUUUUUUUCCUCUUUUUUUUUUCCACUCCAGGCUUCACUUGCUCCUUGUUGGCCUGGGAGGUUUUCACCUAGUCCUGAAGAUGAUCGUGCUCUGGGGACACUCAGAACUGCCAGAAAUGUUGCAUCAGAGUCUGUAUCAGCUCCAGCCCUCCGGUCCAUCUGAAGGCAUCUGCUUCACCUCCGAGAUGCAACCAUGGUCGAGAGGACCGCUGUUUCCAACGCAAUUCUGGCGGAGGCCGAGUGGGAGGUGGGGAGAAGGCAGAGGAAGAGCAGGAUACCGGAGCAGUUCAGGCACAAUCCCGGCUCUCAGCAGUACGAUCAGCUCCUUGGCAACAGGAGGAAGGUGUGUCAGGGUGGGUUCCGGCUCCAGCUCCAGGAGAGAGGAGCAUCACCGCUAACGGGGCUUGUCUAAUUUUGCCGUGGAGCACUUGAAAAGAGAGAAUAAAGUAACAGCCUCUUACUGAGUGCGUUACGCGGCAGCAUGAGGUCCUUUGCUGUCCGUUUUUAUAAAACAGCUUUCAUACAACAGCACUGAGUUUAAUUGUGUUCAAGAGAAAGUAAGUUGCCUUUACCGACCUUCAGCCUGCACAGGAAUUUCUCGUGUGGAGAGGGAAGAUGGCCGGUACCAUGAACGGAGAGAACAGAUUUGGGGUUGGGCUAGAUGAUCUUUGAAGGCCCCUUCCAACCCAAAUCAUCCUCUGAUUCCUUGAUUCGAAAUGCCUCGGCCUUUUAGACUAUCUCGUGGUAUUUCGCAGUUGCCACUCUUUAGGAGGUACUGUCCAUCUACUUGAUCAGAACAACGGUUAUUCCUCAAAAGAGGAGUAGGCCUUGAAACCUCCCGAAACCUAAAUCAUUAGAAAGGUUUUACAAGACUUUGCCGUCUUUUAUACAAGACUUUGCUGCACUUGUACACUAAACUAUCGGUAAUGAGAAGCUAAAGAGUUAAAUCAAAAUCGGAGCGAUCCAACAGAGUCUCAUAAAGUCUUUAAAACCAAGGUAAAGGGAAGAGAUUAAUGUAUCUUAAAUAAUGAAAAAUACAUGGAUUCUAAAAUUAUUAUUGAAUGGAUUCUUAGUAGUAAUAUUAGAAGAAAAGUCAUUUCUAAGCAGUCGAAGACUGCUGAUCUGGCAGUCCUAUGCUGUAACUAUGAUAAUCCUGGUUGCAUGGAGGCUCGAAGACACUAAUUCCAGUUAGUUUUACAUUGGGUGUGUCACCUCACACACAGAGGAGGACAGAAAACACAUCUAUAUAAUUUUGUAAACAGACAAACAUGGUUUCCACACUCCUUUUGGUGUUGCACAAUAGUACCGAAGGGGUUAGGUUCAUCUCUGAAGUGAAGAAUUGCACAAAAAAGUAAAGGCUGCUGUAAAUGAGCCAUCAAGAACCAUCCCCACAUGAACAGAGUUGCCCAGGAGAUGUGAUGGGCACCCAGCGACGGGCUGUGAACUGUCAGGGACCGGCAGCCAAAGCAGAGCAUGGGGAACAAAACUGCGAGAUGUCGGCAGACGGUGGUGAUUCUGCGUCCCCGUGCAAAGACACAAAGAAUUGCUGCGUGGCUCGGGGCGGGAAGGGAAGCUGUGAUCCCAACCGCAGCACAUGCGCCGACCUUGCUGCUCUGGGCUGAUCCGUUUGCCUACAGUCCCCAACCAACGAUAACCCAGUAAUAGAGCUUUUCUCCUUUUGAAAAUGCUGUCCGGUGAGUCUGCCCACAUCUGUAGGACGUUCAGCUUUCGAAGAGCUAUAUCUGUGGCAGGGUAAAAAGUCCAGGGUAUUCAUCAGAAUUCAGGAGUCUCUGAAAUGGGAGCUUGUGCAAGGAAGUGUCUUCUGGCAUUUAGGGUACCCCAUUUCGGUCAUCAACAGGGCGAGAAGAGAGGUGCUUGAGGGGGAAUAUAAGGAAGCAGACUGGCUAUGACGGGUGAAAAUAAGGCCAUCGUAAGUGCCCGUCAAUGAGCCAAGAAUGACUGAGCCCUAAAUCCCCAUCUUCCCUCUAACACAUGCUCUUUCAUCAGGGCUACCUCCCGGGAGCUCCAGCAUCCCCAAGGGGUUCGCUUUUCAGCCUCUCUCGUUAGCAUCUCCCUUGUGAGAUGUAACAGACGCAUUCUGUAACGUCGUCCUGGAGUUCUGCAGCUCCUUUGCUGGAGACGGAGCAUUUCUUCACCUCUCAACUGCAGCUGAAGGUGAAAUGUGAAGGAGGUCACUGGCAGGAGAGCCCAGGACGCCCCAGCUUGUGCAGGUGAGCAUUUGGUUCUGCACAGCCUCGACACCAAUCCCGCCACCCCCGGGAUAUGAAAUCUGGGUUAUAUAAAGCCAUUCCUGCCUCAAAACGGUGAGGUUAAAAUAAGGUUGUCCAAGAUGAGAGCUGCCUCGGGAGGACGAUUCACUGCCUGCGCCAAACGUUGAGUACGGGAGGAAACUCGGUGCCCAGUGCUCCAAAGUACAGAAACACACAGGCCGGGAUGAUGGGAGCUUCUUGAGCAUUCAGGGUGUUUGCAGAUGUUCUGGAAAGUGAAUAUGCAGUGAGCUGGCAACAGCUGGAGAUGAUACAAAUCAGCAAGGUGCAUCCAUGGUAAACUAAUGAGGAGUAAAGGAAGGAUCUCAUUAUGUGUACUGGCUGGGGAAAAAAAUUGAUUAAAUUCAGAAUUUGUAGGUUCAGAGUGAUAGGUUAAAGAAAAAAAAACAAACCCAAACCGUUACUGAACAUGAUUCAAGUUUCUCAGAAGUUCACGGAGAGCUGGCUGCAGGGUGUGGGAAGGAGCGCGGCUACCUGCCACAACCGUGUGCUCCUUCCCUGGGUGCUCCCUACCAGGCGCCGUGAAAGGCAGGCUCCUGGCGUGAUGGAUUUGCGCAGUCCCAGCAGGGCAGGGCUAAUUCUUAUAUCUGCAUCCUUCCAUUUAAGUGGCAAACUGUACCGAGCAGGCAGCGUGACAGUCCCCAGUCACAGAGCACUGCGAAGCCGGAGAAUGCCAGAUAAACACACCAGAGAGAGUUUUAUACUGUAUCUAACCACGGUUCCUACUCAUCUCACAGCCCAGGAGAGCCAGCGCUGAAAACUGCACAGGUAAAACAUUUUUAAAGGGUGCAAAGCCCACAUUAUUCCUCCUGUCAGUGUGCCGUGGAAGGCCCACCACGUGAAAGUGGACCCAGGUAAGAAAGUAUAGGACUGUAAGAGAAAUGAUAAAUUGUACUUUAAAGGCAGAUACUUCUUUCCCAGAACACUGAUGUAAUUCCUACAGCCCAAAGAACAAAAGCUUCCCUCUGUAAAUCCAUUUCAAAGAGAGCACUAGAUGGGGAAAUCUGUCACGCUUAGGUAACCGGCAUUGGAAGGGAGCUGCUCUGAGUGGCCCAGGGUUAAUGUAUCAGCAAGUUUCGAUGCUGGAGAUGUAGUAGUUCAGUGACUGGAGAGAAUGGCAGUGAUGGAAACCACUGAAACCAACACGCAGACGCCUUGCAAAGACAGACGGACAGAAGUCAUGUUAUCAAGACCACACAAGUUUGUUUGAGAAGGACCUACUGCCUUCUAAUAGCAUGGGAAAAAAACCCGCCUGACUUUCCAUCUCCAUGGUAACUCCUUCCUCCGAAGCACUGUGAAUGCAGUUUGUUUCCUGUUCCUCUAACUUCUUUGAUGGCUCUAGAACAGAGCAGUCAAGGCUGAAGUGCUGGUGAGGCACCUGCAGCAGGCCAGUAGAUGAAGAACCAUGUCUUUGCCUUUGACAGCAAGCGGCGAGUUGAGCUUCUGUCCCCCCCAGGGAGAUACCUGUGUUACCAUCACUCGGCUGAAUACGUGCGGAAUGAUGACGGACUGCAGAAAAAAGCCACAGGCAAACUCUCCGCCGAAGAGGAUCCACACUGCUCCAGCCUCUCCUCUUGCAGGAGUUAGUACACGAGUUGCACGAGUUGCUUCUAGCAGAGGUCCCAUCUCGGGAGGGAUCCCUCUGUCUGUAUCCCAAAGGGCCUUUGGAGGGGUUAGUGACGGUACAAUAACAGUAUUACUGUAGGUAACUACCCACGCUGGCCUUCGCUCCUCUGAGCAUCCGCACGCCCUUUCGUGUCACUUGUCUCCCCUGUUCACCUUAGAGGACAGCCAUGGUGAGGCCUCAGAAGGGCCAGGCAGGGCGAUGCCGCCGUACAGAACCCUGCGCCAGUCUGACAGAGCGAGACAACGAAAGGGAAUGAUCCUGACUACCAAUACACAAACGGACCGCGAACACGGCAGCAGGACGCUUUGUCAGCAACCAAUAAUGUAGAAUAAGAAAUGAAACUGGUAACGAAGACGUCUGCAGUCACUCCAGAAAACAGUCAAAUAUCCUGGCUGCUUUGGGUUGGCUAAUUACAAAUACCAGCACAGCAAACUACAAGUAAGAAGAUUUACACACAAAAUACAGAAAACAACUUUAUGGAGCUUCCCUACUGCAGAGUAUCUUUAGAAAGCCUUCUAGAAAGCCUUUUACCACAUUACUAAACACACCUUUAUUUAUUAUUUUUUAAGAAAAGAGCAGAAAAGAACUUAAUCCAAACUAAAUAUUUAACCAAUUAUUAACUAACAGUGAUGGAUGGUAAACAGUCCUAGUCCCACGCUAAACCAGGACUUUAAAGCCCAUUUAUCUAAGCUAAAGCUGCUCAAGGGGAAAGGCAAGUUUAUUGAGUAAACUUUGUCUCGGCCACCUCACUAUUAAAACAGUCUACAAACAGAAACUACAUCGUAUAUUCCGUGAGAGAAAAAAACAAAAGGAGCAAGAACCCAACAAACCGUCGCGUGGAGGUGACGGUGCCGCAUGGAGCAAUUAUCCCGCAGUAUAAAAGCAGGGGAAGCACGAAGCUGCAAAGCGGCCACUGUCAGCCCCUCGUGGCCUUGUGUGAAAACAGGAACGAGGGAGGGACCCCCCUCAAUUGCACCCGUUGUUCCCGUUUGGCCUGGGACGGUCAGUCCCACUUGGCCACGAGGAAGGCGUGAGCCUGGGCAGAGUUCGCCAAGGUUUUAUGCAUGUGGAGCCCUCGCUAAGUGCAGCAGAAUUAGCCGCUGCUGCUGCUGGUGAUGAUUAUUAUCACGAUCACUCUGGGGAAGCAGAGCAGCCCUCAGCUCCCACCCCCGCACCCCCCAGCGUGGGACCCCCCCCAAGCCCAGGGUGCCUUUGGCGGGGUGGGGAGGGGCUGCUGGAGCCUGGCUUGCCUCCCCCCAUCGCGGUGGGGUGCAGUACCCCAAGGUGGGGGUCAGCCUCCCCCACCACCGCCCCUGGAGUGGGCAGGUGGGCAGCAGCAGGCGAAGGGUGCAGGCAGGGACGAAGAUUUGCAUGGGAUACUCACGGAGU
Non-coding RNA from Phalacrocorax carbo (great cormorant), 16719 nucleotides. Lineage: Eukaryota; Metazoa; Chordata; Aves; Suliformes; Phalacrocoracidae. The record is from RefSeq and is a predicted model, not a curated record.